RNAcentral lists this transfer RNA (76 nucleotides) under Bacteroidales bacterium. Its description in RNAcentral is "tRNA-Ile". It matches the Rfam family "tRNA". Rfam says of the family: Transfer RNA (tRNA) molecules are approximately 80 nucleotides in length. Their secondary structure includes four short double-helical elements and three loops (D, anti-codon, and T loops). The record is from RNAcentral. Lineage: Bacteria; Pseudomonadati; Bacteroidota; Bacteroidia; Bacteroidales.
GGGAAUUUAGUUCAAUCGGCAGAACAUGCGCCUCAUAAGCGUACAGUUCCGGGUUCAAGUCCCGGGGUUCCCACCA